GACGAACGCUGGCGGCGUGCUUAACACAUGCAAGUCGAACGGAAAGGCCCUGCUUUUGUGGGGUGCUCGAGUGGCGAACGGGUGAGUAACACGUGAGUAACCUGCCCUUGACUUUGGGAUAACUUCAGGAAACUGGGGCUAAUACCGGAUAGGAGCUCCUGCUGCAUGGUGGGGGUUGGAAAGUUUCGGCGGUUGGGGAUGGACUCGCGGCUUAUCAGCUUGUUGGUGGGGUAGUGGCUUACCAAGGCUUUGACGGGUAGCCGGCCUGAGAGGGUGACCGGCAAAAUUGGGAAUGAGAUACGGCCCAGACUCCUACGGGAGGCAGCGGUGGGGAAUAUUGCAAAAUGGGCGGAAGCCUGGUGCAGCAACGCGGGGGGGGGGAUGGCGGCCUUCGGGUUGUAAACCGCUUUCGCCUGUGAAGAAGGGUGGGUGGCGGUAAUGGGUAAAGAAGCAGCGGCUAACUACGG
Molecule: ribosomal RNA, 467 nt
Filed under: uncultured bacterium
Lineage: Bacteria
Description: partial 16S ribosomal RNA
Rfam family: Bacterial small subunit ribosomal RNA
Source: RNAcentral